CUCGUUCUCUCAUCUCUUUCCCUCCCCUACAAAGCACAAAACAACCUCUCGUUCUUUACCUCUCUUAGUCUCUUUCUUUUUAAUUUCAAUUUCUCCCAAGUAACUGCUCUCUCUUGCACCUCCACAGCUGUAUGUGACUGCCCUACUUUCUCAAGUCAAUUUUUUGCUUGAUUAGGUGGAUGACAAACUAUACACAUAUACUUGGAGUAUGUGUCUGGUGCCUCCAUCUAAAAACUACUUCAAGAAUGUGACCAAUUUGGUGAAAUAGCCAUUCGUAGCUAUACUCAACAAAUCUUGUGUGGGCUUGCUUAUUUGCAUGCUAAAAAUAUUGUCCACGGGUGAACCUUAUUGUUUUGCUAUCUCAUGGUUUUGAUAUGGAACCACAACUUACUCUAAUCACUUAUAAAAAUCAUCAUGCUUAUGUCAUAAAUUUUAAUGAUAAUUUAUAGGGGUGUUCAUGGACAUAAUCGGUCGAGUUUUGUCCAUAAAUAUCACCAAUCCAACUUCUUUUAUAUAUAUGUUACAAAGUUUCAACCCGAUCCAUUCAAAGAUUUUUUUUGAUAAUUUGCAAGGGUACUCAUCUACAAAAGCAAGUGUCGACUUCAAAUUUUCUAUUGUGCUCUUCCAAUUUAGAGAAAAAAUAGUAGCAAAAACUAGGCAUGACUGACCAUCUAGAGCACAAAUGUUUAUGAUCAAUUUCUUUUCUCGGGAAAAGUCAAUCAAUGCUAGAUGAAAUUGGCCCAACCAGAGAGAAGAGUGGGGUGGGGGGUGGCGAAGGGAAGAAAAUAUCAACUAGAUAAUGUUAGGUUUAAUGACCCAAUCAUCUGGGGGGAAGAAAAAAAGAGAAUGGAAAGGAAAGCCUAAUCAGAUAGGAAAGAAGAGAAAAUAAAGGAAGAGAAGGAUAAAGGAAGGAAAUAGGAAGAAAGGGUCAAAACCCAAUCGCCCAGCAAUUGCCUAACCAGACAACUUAUUAGGAUGAAUGGCCUAACCAGAAAAGGAAGAAAGAAAACAAGAACAGAGAAAAAAGAGAAAAAAAAAAA
This is a long non-coding RNA of Populus euphratica (Euphrates poplar), 1040 nucleotides long. RefSeq lists it as uncharacterized. Lineage: Eukaryota; Viridiplantae; Streptophyta; Magnoliopsida; Malpighiales; Salicaceae. The transcript is spliced from 2 exons. The record is from RefSeq and is a predicted model, not a curated record.